Pongo pygmaeus (Bornean orangutan) is the source of this 1427-nucleotide long non-coding RNA. RefSeq lists it as uncharacterized. The record is from RefSeq and is a predicted model, not a curated record. Lineage: Eukaryota; Metazoa; Chordata; Mammalia; Primates; Hominidae. The transcript is spliced from 2 exons.
GUGUGUGUGUGUGGUUGUGUAGUGGGGAGGGGGUUGCAAAGGGAGUAACAUCUGGUUCUUUUGUUACUUAGGUGUAGAAAGUUGGGGUUUUCCUUUUUUUUUUUUUUUUUUUUGAGACGGAGUCUUGCUGUGUCGCUCAGGCUUGAGUGCAGUGGCGCGAUCUGGGCUCACUGCAAGCUCCGCCUCCCAGGUUCACGCCAUUCUCCUGCCUCAGCCUCCGGAGUAGCUGGGACUGCAGGCGCCUGCCACCACGCCCGGCUAAUUUUGUUUUUGUAUCUUUAGUAGAGACGGGGUUUCACCCUGUUAGCCAGGAUGGUCUUGAUCUCCUGAUCUCGUCAUCCGCCCGCCUCGGCCUCCCAAAGUGCUGGGAUUACAGGCCUGAGCCACCACGCCCGGCCGGGGUUUUACAUUUGAUUUAGUUCUAGGAAAUCAGUGUGAAUCUGCCUUAGGUUCCCUGCCUCCAGACCAUAUUCUCCUGCGGCAACACUUUGCUGAGAACUAUUCUUGAAAAUACGGGGAUUGGUAUUUUCAUGGUGGUUUUCAUGGAGCUGAGAACUAAGAAGAUAAUGACUGCUUCCUUCAUUUGGGGAUGGGAUUUAAAUGUAAUGGAGCAUUCAUUGUUUUCUUGAGAAGGUGGGAGAUACUAGUUCCUUAGAAAGAAAAAGGGGUGCGAGAGGCAGGAUUUUAGGAACUCAAAUCUAGGUGGGAACCGGGAAGCAUGAUUUCUUUUUUCUUUCCCAACCCCAAUCUUCUGUUUUGUAAUUCUGUAAUUUUAAAAACUUGACUGUACUCUUGUGGGUUUUUUUUCCUCCCUCAAUAUUUGGGAAAGUUUGAAAAAUGCCAGCCCUUUUCAGCUGUGUCAAGUGCAACCAGGAAAGGGCUUGGGGGUGCUGCACCUCAGUCCAGUAGAGGUUUCAUGGUAAAGCAUCUUGGCUUGGAGGAAGAGGAGGAAUAAGACAACUGUGCAUCUCUUGAGGAUCCAGAACGUGGACCUGCGCCUAGUGGAUUCAUGAUUUAUUUGAAACUCUGGUGUGAUGGUUAAUACUGAGUGUCAACUUGAUUGGAUUGAAGCAUGCCAAACUAUUGAUCCUGGGUGUGUCUGUGAGGGUGUCGCCAAAGGAGAUUAACAUUUAAGUCAGGGGGCUGGGGAAGACAGACCCACCCUUAAUUUGGUGGUCACAAUCUAGUCAGCUGCCAGCAAAUAUAAAGCAGGCAUUAAAACCUGAAAAGGCGAGACUGGCCUAGCCUCCCUGCCUCCAUCUUUCUCCGGUGCUGGAUGCUUCCUGCUGUCAAACAUCAGACUCCAAGUUCUUCAGUUUUGACGUUCGGUUUGGCUCUCCCUGCUCCUCAAGCUUGCAGUCAGCCUAUUGUGGGACCUUCUGAUCAUCUUAAGUUAAUACUUAAUAAACUCCUAUAUACAUACAUAU